CCCUGAGAUGGAUUUUGACUCUAAUUAGAAGUCGAUCAGGAGGGAGGAGAAGACUCCCUAUGGGAGUCUUCUUCAUUCUUUGUUUUUGUACUUUGAUAUCUAUGCUGGGUAUUUCAUUCUUUUCUCCUAAAAAAAAAUUUCGUCUUCAAAAUUUUUUUUGCUUAAGUCUUCAAAAAAUUUUUACUUGGGAUUUAUGAUUAAAAUCUCAGCCACAAAUAUUUUAAUAUUCUAAUUCUC
This 237-nucleotide long non-coding RNA is filed under the name Elaeis guineensis (African oil palm). RNAcentral describes it as "long non-coding RNA (EGUI_LNC031676)". The record is from RNAcentral. Lineage: Eukaryota; Viridiplantae; Streptophyta; Magnoliopsida; Arecales; Arecaceae.